UGAAAUGAAGAAAACUUUACUUCCCGAACCAUCGUGUGGGCCUUUGUCAUUUUUGUCAAAGGGACGUAAUUCUGAUU
RNAcentral lists this small nucleolar RNA (77 nucleotides) under Drosophila mojavensis. RNAcentral describes it as "snoRNA:GI25311". Lineage: Eukaryota; Metazoa; Arthropoda; Insecta; Diptera; Drosophilidae. The record is from RNAcentral.